GCCGCCGUAGCUCAGUGGUAGAGCAUCGGAUGCGCUAUUCGAAGGCCGCAGGUUUGGGCCCUGCCGGCGACA
Rhipicephalus sanguineus (brown dog tick) is the source of this 72-nucleotide non-coding RNA. NCBI's taxonomy places the organism in Eukaryota, Metazoa, Arthropoda, Arachnida, Ixodida, Ixodidae. The record is from the annotation of a RefSeq genome assembly.